GACGAACGCUGGCGGCGUGCUUAACACAUGCAAGUCGAGCGGAGCGUCGAACGGGUGAGUAACGCGUGAGUAACUGCCCCCCUCUCCGGGAUAACAGUUGGACACGUCUGCUAAUACCGGAUAGUGGGGGAUGACUCGCGGCCUAUCAGCUUGUUGGUGGGGUAGUGGCCUACCAAGGCGACGACGGGUAGCCGGCCUGAGAGGGCGACCGGCCACAUUGGGCUGGGAUACGGCCCAAAGUGCUACGGGGGGCAGCGGUGGGGAAUAGUGCCCAAUGGGGGAAACGCUGAUGCAGCAACGCCGCGUGGGGAAUGACGGCCUUCGGGUUGUAAACCGCUUUCAGCCAUGACGCGGUAGUGGCAGAAGAAGCACCGGCUAACUACGUGCCAGCAGCCGCGGUAAUAC
RNAcentral lists this ribosomal RNA (405 nucleotides) under uncultured bacterium. RNAcentral's name for it is "partial 16S ribosomal RNA". It matches the Rfam family "Bacterial small subunit ribosomal RNA", at positions 28 to 526 of the family's 1533-position model. The record is from RNAcentral.